AUGGGAUUAUUUGUGAAUUUUACUCAUGGUCAAAGACUCCUGAUGAACCAUUUCUUACAUUCCAUAUAUCUUUUCAGAGAAUUUCAGCCAAAUGUCACAACACUAUAUUUAACCUUAAGGUCCAUACAUAUAAUGCGUUAUAUUAGUGUAUUGGAACACAAUGCAGCUAAGGUUUUCCUUUUCAAUGAUGUAAUAUGCAAGUGUCAGUUGCAACGAUAUCUCACAACUCACGUGCAAAGCACGUGCAACUCACUAGUAACAAGAAAAACCUGUGUUGCACACAUUUAUAUGGUGUGUACCUAUGUUGCACACAUGAUUCUAAAAUAA
This 327-nucleotide ribosomal RNA is filed under the name Triticum aestivum (bread wheat). Its description in RNAcentral is "partial small subunit ribosomal RNA". Lineage: Eukaryota; Viridiplantae; Streptophyta; Magnoliopsida; Poales; Poaceae. The record is from RNAcentral.